RNAcentral lists this non-coding RNA (79 nucleotides) under Albidovulum aquaemixtae. The record is from RNAcentral. Lineage: Bacteria; Pseudomonadati; Pseudomonadota; Alphaproteobacteria; Rhodobacterales; Paracoccaceae.
AAGGCGGUGUUCGAGGAAACUCUCAACGUCUUCUACCUCCCUGUUGGACUUGGGCCGAGCUUGUCUCGGCCUCUUUUUU